GACGAACGCUGGCGGCGUGCUUAACACAUGCAAGUCGAACGGAAAGGCCCUGCUUUUGUUGGGUGCUCGAGUGGCGAACGGGUGAGUAACACGUGAGUAACCUGCCCUUGACUUUGGGAUAACUUCAGGAAACUGGGGCUAAUACCGGAUAGGAGCACCUGCUGCAUGGUGGGGGUUGGAAAGUUUCGGCGGUUGGGGUUGGACUCGCGGCUUAUCAGCUUGUUGGUGGGGUAGUGGCUUACCAAGGCUUUGCCGGGUAGCCGGCCUGAGAGGGUGACCGGCCACAUUGGGACUGAGAUACGGCCCAGCCUCCUACGGGAGGCAGCAGUGGGGAAUAUUGCACAAUGGGCGGAAGCCUGAUGCAGCCACGCCGCGUGCGGGAUGACGGCCUUCGGGUUGUAAACCGCUUUCGCCUGUGACGAAGCGUGAGUGACGGUAAUGGGUAAAGAAGCACCGGCUAACUACGUG
This 468-nucleotide ribosomal RNA is filed under the name uncultured bacterium. Its description in RNAcentral is "partial 16S ribosomal RNA". It matches the Rfam family "Bacterial small subunit ribosomal RNA", at positions 28 to 507 of the family's 1533-position model. The record is from RNAcentral.